UUGGUUAAAAUGAUUCGUCGCCAUAGGAUGGGACUGCGGCCUAUCAGCUUGUUGGUGAGGUAAUGGCCCACCAAGGCGAUUACAGGUACGGGCUCUGAGAGGAGAAGCCCGGAGAUGGGUACUGAGACACGGACCCAGGCCCUAUGGGGCGCAGCAGGCGAGAAAACUUCGCAAUGUGCGAAAGCACGACAAGGUUAAUCCGAGUGAUUUCUGCUAAAGAAAUCUUUUGUCAGUCAUAAAACCACUGGCGAAUAAGGGGUGGGCAAGUUCUGGUGUCAGCCGCCGCGGUAAAACCAGCACCUCAAGUGGUCAGGAUGAUUAUUGGGCCUAAAGCAUCCGUAGCCGGCUUUGUUAGUUUUCGGUUAAAUCCAUGUGCUCAACGCAUGGGCUGCCGAAAAUACUGCAUGGCUAGGGAGUGGGAGAGGUAGACGGUACUCAGUAGGAAGGGGUAAAAUCCUUUGAUCUAUUGAUGACCACCUGUGGCGAAGGCGGUCUACCAGAACACGUUCGACGGUGAGGGAUGAAAGCUGGGGGAGCAAACCGGAUUAGAUACCCGGGUAGUCCCAGCUGUAAACGAUGCAGACUCGACGAUGCAUUGGCAUAAUAGCCAGUGCAGUGUCGCAGGGAAGCCGUUAAGUCUGCCGCCUGGGAAGUACGUACGCAAGUAUGAAACUUAAAGGAAUUGGCGGGGGAGCACCACAAGGGGUGAAGCCUGCGGUUCAAUUGGAGUCAACGCCGGA
This 740-nucleotide ribosomal RNA is filed under the name uncultured archaeon. RNAcentral's name for it is "SSU rRNA". It matches the Rfam family "Archaeal small subunit ribosomal RNA", at positions 182 to 922 of the family's 1478-position model. The record is from RNAcentral.